This 265-nucleotide ribosomal RNA is filed under the name uncultured archaeon. Its description in RNAcentral is "partial 16S ribosomal RNA". It matches the Rfam family "Archaeal small subunit ribosomal RNA", at positions 714 to 982 of the family's 1478-position model. The record is from RNAcentral.
AGACGUCUACAUUAGAUACCCCUGUAGUCCCAGCCGUAAACAAUGUGCGUUAGGUGUGUCGGUAACCACGUGUUACUGAUGCGCCGAAGAGAAAUCGUGAAACGCACCACCUGGGAAGUACGGUCGCAAGGCUGAAACUUAAAGGAAUUGGCGGGGGAGCACCACAACAGGUGGAGCCUGCGGUUUAAUUGGAUUCAACGCCGGACAUCUCACCGGGUAAGACAGCUGAAUGAUUGUCAAUCUGAAGGUUUUACAUGACUAGCUG